Molecule: long non-coding RNA, 2937 nt
Organism: Solenopsis invicta (red fire ant)
Lineage: Eukaryota; Metazoa; Arthropoda; Insecta; Hymenoptera; Formicidae
Exons: 10
Source: RefSeq, a predicted model, not a curated record
AUAAAGAUUCUGUGCUUGCAUAUUAAUGAGCCGAUCGAAAAUGCGCAUUCCGUAAUAAUUAAUGUCGAAAAAAUAUAUCGCGCAAGUGAACGCAAAGUUAAGAUCGAUAUACGUAGUAUCGAUCGUGGCGCGUGAGUCGAUCGCGCGGAGACGAAGUGUCUUCUCGCUCUUUUCACUUGCGGAACGCGGCGAGUGCGGGUGGACCGAACUGGUGCGAGUCAUUGCGACUCGUUUAACAGAACGGAACGGACGCGGGACGGAUCGGUUCCGGAACGGAGGCGUUAUCGCGGCUUCGUUUUAACAAAAUGCAAUAGACACUUUUACAAGACGUGGAAUGAAGUGGGUCCGGAACGAUUGGUAUCGCUAUUUCAAUUAAACGCGGCAAAUGCGAGACAGACCUGCUCCAGAACGAGUGGCAACGCAAUUUAUUUUGAUAAAUUGUGAAAAGAAGAAAAAAGAGAGCAGGAGUUGGACAAUUUCCCAAAAUAAGAGUCCUAGAAGAGGCGGUGUCGGUGGAGCAAUUUAGCGAUUAACAUUGCAGGAUCUGUGAGAAGGAAAAAACCUGGGAGAAGCUUUGGGCCCCGGCGGAGCAACUUUGGAAUUCAUAGUAGCGAUGACUGAUAACUCCACUGCGCAUCGAUUGCUCACAUAUGUAUGUACAACACUCGUCGACAAUUUAAAUAAAAAUAAAGGAACAGCAACCUGUUCGUCGCGUCGCGCGUUUGUUCCGGUAGUGCCGUUUAAAGUAAUUGGGCUUAAUUAGUCCACGCGCGCAAAUUUAAUAUAUUAUUCGCGAGUGUUCCGCGAGUGCAAUGAAAGAACGAAGCUCGAUCUGGAUCUGAGAGGAGGAGGAGGCCUAGAAGAGGUAUCAGGUUGCAACGGAGCAACUUUGAAGUAAAUAUCAAAGUAUCAUUGCAGCUUUAUGGGUGAUUGUUUCCGCCUGUUCCGCAUCAGAACGUAAUCACCACAGCUCCGUGGCUAAUUACUUCCGCUUGAUGCGCAUCGGAAUUGAAUGUGCUACAUUAUUUCGAGUAUCGUGAAUUAAUUUUUGAUUUGUUUUGGAUAUCUUUCUAAUACCGAAUUGAUCUCAUUGAGCUUGAUGCGAAAUAAAUGUUUUACUUGAUUCGCGCAUCAACGCGACGUGACGUUCCGUCCGUAUGCGAUUCGUUAUACUCGUUUCUCUCUUCGCUACGAUGGAUCUGUCACAGCGGUUGGACAUGACGAGUCGCAAUGUUUCACGAUUUUCUCGAGACAGGUCUGUAACUUUUGCGAUUUGAAAGAAUCGCUCCGACUCCGAGCUUGAUGUAGUAUACGCGAGCGCGUUAGCGCGAGCAAUUCCCUAGCCUCGGCACGAUUUGCUCGGCUCUCUCGAUAAAACCUCGUAAAUUCUCAACUUCGUUACGCGACGAACCUGCACGCUUCCAGGAUAUAAAGUUCUUACUUGCCCGGCCCGGCAGGUUUUGCAUCGCCGUUCGUUGGUAUUCGCCUGUUCGUAGGAUCGAGAUAGCGCCGAUCCGAUGUAGCCGCUCUAUCUCAGAUUUUUAUGCUAAUCCGCUAACGCGGUUGUCUCCCCCCGCGUGUUACGAUCCGGGUGCACCUGUUGAGCACAUGUCGUACGUCGCGCACGCAUUUCGCUUUUUUCUUUUCUCUUUCGCUUCGAUAGCCGGCGUUAAGGCGCGAUUAUAGAGCGGGAGACAAAAAAUUCCGCAAUCGGUCGACGAUCUCCGACAGUACCAGUAGCGAGAGCGCUUUUUAAGCGCCACAUCGAGUCGCGCGCGACGAGCAGCGGCUCGCCAGAAGUGUAUUAACGAGCGGAGCCAUAACGCGAGCGUUUAUUUCUCUAUCGGCGGCGUCGGUUCUCGAAAGGGCCCGAUAGAAACGGCGGAAACUUACACGGCAGGCCGAUAAUUAGCUCGAGCCGAAUCGGUUCUUGGGAGGCGAGAGAGCGAGAAAGAGAAUAAGAGCGCGUACCCCAGUGGCCGGCGCGGCGGUAAUCGCCGUAAUUUAUGCCCCGACAAGCACCGAAGGGAGGACACGAGGGAGGCUCGUUGAGAUAGGCCAGGAGCGUAAAAAAGGCGUACGGCGAAAAUGUCGCCCAAUUAACGGGUGAAUUGGAGCGACCGAGGUCGAGCUUCGCCGCGCUAAGUUGCGUACGCGCGUGUAUGCGUGUUUAACGCGCGCGCUCUCGUGUGCUCUCGUGUACCGACAUCCGCGUGGUGGAAGCCCGGCCGGGCGGAGAGGAGGAAGCUUAACGAGUCUUCUCGCUCGCGCGAGCAAAAGCCGCCGCCGCCGCCACCGCGUCAUUAGCGCGGGAGUGAGCGAGCGAACGAGUCGGCUUAAAUAUCGCGGAGCGUUCAGAGCUGAACGAGGAGGCCCGGCCUCGCCGAGAGGAGCGCCUUCUCUUUUGAACCUCGAGCCACUUUUACGAUUUUAUUAUUGGCUCUUGCGCUCGCGAUAUUUAUGCGACGCCGCGCGAUAUUUUCCACGGCGCAACGCGUCGACUUUAAUAGUGGCCGCCUUAUCCCGAGAGGAGGACGGUCCUUUACCGUUGCGAGUCUGAUGCACUAACAACGCGCGCGACUUAAUUAGGAGAGCCGCCGAUGAGACCCGUCUGCCGCGAGAAGACCGCGAGAUUUUACGUUUUGCUGAUGCGAAACCGUGCCUGUGAAAAAUAGAUGUUUGCCCGACGCAACAGAGCGCUCACGACUUAUAUUCUCUCGAGUAAUGUUUGAAGUAAAUGUCCGUUUUGCUCAAGGUUUACUAACCGGAACUGUUUACCGUCGUGUUUCAUUAAUAACGAAUUCGAUUGGACGCAGUGGUACACAUUAAAGCCGUUGUACAUGAAUGUUUGUUUAAUAUAAAUAAAUAAAUAAAUUAAAUCACAAAAUUCUCAAUACACUUUAUUGUUUUGUUAAAAUAAAAAAAAUAUAAGUAAUU